CAAUCACUUGUCUUUUAAAUGAAGACCCGUAUGAAUGGCACCACGAGGGCUUAGCUGUCUCCUUUUUCAAGUCAAUGAAAUUGAUCUCCCCGUGCAGAAGCGGGGAUAUAAAUAUAAGACGAGAAGACCCUAUGGAGCUUUAGACCUAGUGCAGAUCACGAAAAAUACUUUUAAACAAAAAGAUUAAGCCCAAUGACUCCCGCAUGACUGUCUUUGGUUGGGGCGACCGCGGGGAAAAACAAAACCCCCACGAGGACUGAGAGUUUUACUCCUAAAACCAAGAGCCACAGCUCUAAGUAUCAGAAAUUCUGACCUAUAUGAUCCGGGAAACCGAUCAACGAACCAAGUUACCCUAGGGAUAACAGCGCAAUCCUCUUCCAGAGCCCA
RNAcentral lists this ribosomal RNA (387 nucleotides) under Grammicolepis brachiusculus. Its description in RNAcentral is "partial 16S ribosomal RNA". It matches the Rfam family "Bacterial large subunit ribosomal RNA", at positions 1962 to 2502 of the family's 2925-position model. Lineage: Eukaryota; Metazoa; Chordata; Actinopteri; Zeiformes; Grammicolepididae. The record is from RNAcentral.